Long non-coding RNA from Triticum aestivum (bread wheat), 1067 nucleotides. RefSeq lists it as uncharacterized. NCBI's taxonomy places the organism in Eukaryota, Viridiplantae, Streptophyta, Magnoliopsida, Poales, Poaceae. The record is from RefSeq and is a predicted model, not a curated record. The transcript has 5 exons.
CCACCGCCACCCCCUGCUUCCACACGCCACCGCCGCCCCCCUGCUUACACAUGCUGCCGCCGGCCCUGUUGCUUCUAGCCGCCACUGUUGGGAGCCACCAUAGCGCCACCAAUCGCCACGACCAGCCGUCCCGACCUCUGCCUUGGCUACCUAGCCCCACCCCCGCAGCAAGCCGUCGCUUCGUGUCACCGCAUCCGGUGGCCACAGCGCGCCGUCCAACUCGGCAAUCCAACUGCUUGCUCCACGGUCGGUCUCUCAAGUAGCUGCGUGCAGGCAAACAUCUCCAUGGGCGACAAGUUCUUCUUUCACAACUUGUUGCUGUUGCUGCACCUUCUCCUUCGACCAGGCUAAGUAAAUUUUCCAGCGACACACCGCGCCCUCGCCUCCCACCUCCGCGAUGGACCAUGGAUCUGCCUUCGUAGGGGCGGGCGGUGGUGGGAAGGAGGAGCAUCGACAACAACCACCUCCACACCUUCCUGCUCCUCCCCGCCGUGCGACGACCACCUCUGUCGCCUCGGGAUCCCUGCUGCUUGCAUUCAAAACAAGAUAAAAGAGAGUGUGGAGGGGCAAGUUGCUCCGCGACUGAGGAAGGCGCACCCCGGGGCUUGCCAUGGCUAAAGACAGCCUCCAACCGCGGGGGCCAAAGCAGUCAGCCUUUGUUCGCAUGUGCAUCUCCAUCCUGCUUCACCUAGCAGUCCUACUUCUCCAUGAUGACAAGGAUGACGUCGCCAUGCGUGCACACUGCAACAUGUCCCCUGUCACAGCCCCACCACUCGUUGCUGAUCCGCUCCACCCCGAGGACCUCCACGAUGGAGGUUGCCUCGCAGCCUAGCGACGAGAAUCAAAGAAGGUAGUGAGAUGUACUAGUAGAAGAGGAAGAAGUAAUGUGAAUAAAUGAGAUAAAUGUGAGAAGACCAAGUACAAAAGUGUGAGAGGGAUUCAGAUUUUUUUCAGAUUCUUGCUGUACACAUACCUUUGGUAUGUAGAUGCACUGUAAUGUAUCUAGAAAGUAUGAAUGGUUAAUACCUCAAUGGUGCACUAUGCAUCUUUGGCAGUUUUUAUGCAUU